This 253-nucleotide ribosomal RNA is filed under the name uncultured bacterium. Its description in RNAcentral is "partial 16S ribosomal RNA". It matches the Rfam family "Bacterial small subunit ribosomal RNA", at positions 524 to 776 of the family's 1533-position model. The record is from RNAcentral.
UACAGAGGUCCCAAGCGUUGUUCGGAUUCACUGGGCGUAAAGGGUGCGUAGGCGGUCGGGUAAGUCUGAUGUGAAAUCCCUCGGCUUAACCGGGGAACUGCGUCUGAUACUGGAUGGCUUGAGUUUGGGAGAGGGAUGCGGAAUUCCAGGUGUAGCGGUGAAAUGCGUAGAUAUCUGGAGGAACACCGGUGGCGAAGGCGGCAUCCUGGACCAACACUGACGCUGAGGAGCGAAAGCCAGGGGAGCAAACGGG